AAAUAAAAAAGAACAGCAGAAGGUCACCAACAGGUCUUCAAUGUAGCGAGAAAUUCCCGCACCCGGAGGCGUCCUUCAGCUGGCCCCUAAACAACUAUAUACUAGUUCAGUGAUAAUGAACGCCCUACUAAUUUCCAAAUUGUACACAAGAAACUAAAAUUAAAAUAAUACAAGACUAACAAAGGCCAGAAGCUCCUGACUUGGGACAGGCGCAAAAAUGCGGCGGGGUUAAACAUGUUUGUGAGAUCUCAACCCUCCCCCUAUACCUCUAACCAAUGUAGAAAAGUAAACGCAUAACAAUACGCACAUUAAAAUUCAGUUCAAGAGAAGUCCGAGUCUGAUGUCAGAAGAUGUAACCAAAGAAAAUAAACAAAAUGAC
RNAcentral lists this long non-coding RNA (379 nucleotides) under Mytilus galloprovincialis (Mediterranean mussel). Lineage: Eukaryota; Metazoa; Mollusca; Bivalvia; Mytilida; Mytilidae. The record is from RNAcentral.